This 1029-nucleotide long non-coding RNA is filed under the name Sus scrofa (pig). Its description in RNAcentral is "lncRNA (ENSSSCG00070007460.1)". Lineage: Eukaryota; Metazoa; Chordata; Mammalia; Artiodactyla; Suidae. The record is from RNAcentral.
GAGGUCUAAGUCUGCACCUCUCUGACGGAAAAGGACCAAAGAAAGGUAGAGUGUGACUGAAAGGACAGAGGGCCAGCCGCAGAGUCAUGAACUCACUGUAUAUUUGGGGACAUCCAUUCUUCUUUCCAAGCCUUCUCAUGUGCAUCGUAAUCCUGGCCUCCAUAACUCAUGGGCCUAAUGUAAAAAUUCAGCAGACUUUUUUUGUGAGUGUGUCUUUUUAGGGCCGCAACUGAGGCAUAUAGAGAUUCCCAGGCUAGGGGUCGAAUCAGAACCUUAGCUGCUGGCCUACACCACAGCCAGAGCAAAGCAGGAUCCGAGCUGUGUCUGCAACCUACACCACAGCUCACAGCAACACCGGAUCCUUAACUCACUGAGUGAGGCCAGUGAUCAAACCUGCGUCCUCAUGGAUGCUAGUCAGAUUCAAUUCCAUUGAGCCACGGUGGGAACUCCAAUUCAACAGACAUUUACCAAACCUUAGGGCAAUCUAGGGAUUAUCACAUGUUCUGGGGACAGAGAGUCUAGAAUUUGUAUCCCGGCUCCACCAGCUUAACAGUUGUGGGACUCCAGGAAAUUGAUCUGAGUGCCUUAGUUUCUUCACGCCUACAGAACCCGCCUUGUGGAAUUGCUGUGAGGAUUAAAUGGGCCUUUAUGUGUAAUGCAUUUAGUGACUAUUCAGUAAAUGCGAGCUAUAUUAUUAUCAUCAUCACGUGCUAGAUCCUGGGAGAGGGAUGAAAAGCGGAAGGCAUAACGCCCCAACAAGUGCACGGCUGCCAAAGAGGAGCAGGAAAAGUAACUAUGCGCAGAGUGCAAAAACCCAGCAGUGAGCUUACGGCGCCUUCAGAAAGCGACGAGGUUCCCAGGGUGCUCCUCAGCGCGGGAGUCGGUGAAGCUGCAGCUGAGGCCGGGCGGGGGAGGCGGGGCGGGGGCUCACGGAGUGGCUGGGGCGCAGGCCCCGCCUCCCAAACUCCCGCCCUUUCGGAGAGCCCUGCCGCUCCAGCCAGCGCUCCAGAGAGGACUGCAUCGCCUUAG